GCUUCUGUAGCUCAGUAGGUUAGAGCGCCGUGCUAAUAACGCGGAGGGCGAAGGUUCGAUCCCUUCCAGAAGUA
Molecule: transfer RNA, 74 nt
Organism: Edhazardia aedis
Lineage: Eukaryota; Fungi; Microsporidia; Culicosporidae
Rfam family: tRNA
About the family: Transfer RNA (tRNA) molecules are approximately 80 nucleotides in length. Their secondary structure includes four short double-helical elements and three loops (D, anti-codon, and T loops).
Source: Rfam